This 253-nucleotide ribosomal RNA is filed under the name uncultured bacterium. RNAcentral describes it as "partial 16S ribosomal RNA". It matches the Rfam family "Bacterial small subunit ribosomal RNA", at positions 524 to 776 of the family's 1533-position model. The record is from RNAcentral.
GACGGAGGAUGCAAGCGUUAUCCGGAAUUAUUGGGCGUAAAGCGUCCGCAGGUGGUUUUUCAAGUCUGUUGUCAAAGCGCGAGGCUCAACCUUGUAUAGGCGAUGGAAACUGAGAGACUAGGGUGCGGUAGGGGUAGAGGGAAUUCCCGGUGUAGCGGUGAAAUGCGUAGAUAUCGGGAAGAACACCAGUGGCGAAGGCGCUCUACUGGGCCUGCACUGACACUGAGGGACGAAAGCUAGGGGAGCGAAUGGG